GGAUUGUGGCUCAGUAGUAGAGUGUUCGCCUAGCACGUGUGAGGCACUGGGUUCGAUCCUCGGCACCA
This 68-nucleotide transfer RNA is filed under the name Marmota monax (woodchuck). RNAcentral's name for it is "tRNA.Ala". Lineage: Eukaryota; Metazoa; Chordata; Mammalia; Rodentia; Sciuridae. The record is from RNAcentral.